This is an RNA transcript of Ananas comosus (pineapple), 965 nucleotides long. RefSeq lists it as uncharacterized. The transcript has 4 exons. The record is from RefSeq and is a predicted model, not a curated record. NCBI's taxonomy places the organism in Eukaryota, Viridiplantae, Streptophyta, Magnoliopsida, Poales, Bromeliaceae.
UUAUUAUCUUAAAACUAAAAUUCAAGGGGUGAAAACCACCCGGUGCACCACGUCAUCAGUGCAGCGCAAUCCCCACCCCUACCUUCUCCUUCAUCGUCGAAUCGCACCGCCACCACGGCCAAAUUGGAACCCUAACACUAAAAGCUUCGAGCUCGUCGCCCAUGGCGCCUGCGCCCUCGAGCAACGACCCCCUCCACGCCUCGGAAGAGGGAGGAGGAAGAAGCGAGAGUUCUCAAUCCCGAGAAGUAGCUUGGCUCUCCUCCUUGUCUGAAUCUGAGCUUGAUUUUCUUAUAAGCCUAAAAGAGAUGGCUGCUAUGCGGGCAAAGAAUGUAGGCUUUAGUGAUCUUGCUGAAAAAUUUGAUGUGAGAACGCUUCGAGCUCUUGUCCAGUAACUUCUCAGGGAUUGUUUUAUUGGAAAAUUUCAAGGAGCGAGUGAAAAGCACCUCGGCUGAUCCAAAGUUGGUUGAGAUGCUAGCAUUAUUAAGUGGCAGUGGUUUGGCUGCACCCAAUCAGGAGAGUAGUUCUUGCUCUAAGCUUUCUGUCAAUGAUGUUUCAAUGCCAAGUUUUGUUACACCGAGACGAAAGAGGAUGUGGGAUGGAUUACGUGGAGAGAGUGUCCAAGGAAGUUGCAAGAAACAGAAAACAGAGAAGAGCAUAGAAUCACCGUGAUACUUCAUCUAACUACAAUUUUACAUGUUCUAGCCAGUAAAAAUCAUUUUUGCCUCUGGUUUUACCCGUGAUCUCUUUGAUGGGAUGCCGAGUUUCUGUUUCCCUUGUUUUGUUGCUUCUACAUCAUUUAUUUAUUAGUCUGAAACAAACAUGCUUCACGCAUAAUGUAAUUACCAACUAUUUAGUAGUUUUGAGCUAACACCUAACCAUUCAACUAUAUAUGUAAACCUUUCUUUAUCUUUCUGAGUAGAAGUAAAUAUGAAGAGCUUAACAGUCAAGCUGGACAUUUAUUUUAA